ACGUAAGGGGCAAGCGUUAUCCGGAUUUACUGGGUGUAAAGGGAGCGUAGACGGCAGAGUAAGUCAGAUGUGAAAACCCAAGGCUCAACCAUGGGACUGCAUUUGAAACUAUUCAGCUAGAGUGUCGGAGAGGUAAGUGGAAUUCCUAGUGUAGCGGUGAAAUGCGUAGAUAUUAGGAGGAACACCAGUGGCGAAGGCGACUUACUGGACGAUGACUGACGUUGAGGCUCGAAAGCGUGGGGAGCAAACAG
Molecule: ribosomal RNA, 251 nt
Filed under: uncultured bacterium
Lineage: Bacteria
Description: partial 16S ribosomal RNA
Rfam family: Bacterial small subunit ribosomal RNA
Source: RNAcentral